CCUACGGGUGACAGCAGUGAGGAAUAUUGGUCAAUGGACGUAAGGCUGAACCAGCCAAGUCGCGUGAAGGAAGAAGGAUCUAUGGUUUGUAAACUGCUUUUAUAGGGGAAUAAAGGUAGACACGUGUGGAUAGUUGCAUGUACCCUAUGAAUAAGCAUCGGCUAACUCCGUGCCAGCAGCCGCGGUAAUACGGAGGAUGCGAGCGUUAUCCGGAUUUAUUGGGUUGAAAGGGUGCGUAGGUUGUGUUUUAAGUCAGCGGUGAAAGUUUGUGGCUCAACCCUAGACUUGCCUUUGACACGGGUCGCCUUGCGUGUGUUUGCGGUAGGCGGAAUGCGUGGUGUAGCGGU
This 347-nucleotide ribosomal RNA is filed under the name uncultured bacterium. RNAcentral describes it as "partial 16S ribosomal RNA". It matches the Rfam family "Bacterial small subunit ribosomal RNA", at positions 338 to 682 of the family's 1533-position model. The record is from RNAcentral.